This 434-nucleotide ribosomal RNA is filed under the name Conidiobolus iuxtagenitus. RNAcentral's name for it is "partial small subunit ribosomal RNA". It matches the Rfam family "Bacterial small subunit ribosomal RNA", at positions 366 to 775 of the family's 1533-position model. Lineage: Eukaryota; Fungi; Entomophthoromycota; Entomophthoromycetes; Entomophthorales; Conidiobolaceae. The record is from RNAcentral.
GGGCAAUGGGGGAAACCCUGAUCCAGCAAGAUAGUAAGAGUGUAAAGCAAUCUAGCAUAAAACUUCUAAAGAGUAAGGAAAAUAGUGAUUUUACUUCUCUAAUUAAAUCCUGACAAAUUUCGUGCCAGCAGUCGCGGUAAUACGAAAAGGAUAAGCGUAAUUCAUAAUAUCUAGGUGUAAAGGGUCAUAAGGCUGCAUAAAAAAAAAAAAUAUAUAUAAAUUCUUCGUAAUAUAUAUAUAUUUUUUUUAAGGGAUAACUAUUUAGCUAUACAAUAUUGUAUAGCUAAUCCCAAAUUGACUUGAGUGUUAAAAGGGGAAACGGGAAUUAGGGGUGUAAGGAUAGAAUCUUAUGAUAUCUCUAGGAAUACUACAAAGCGAAGGCUGUUUUCUUUGAAUCACUGACGCUAAAAGACUAAAGUGUGGGUAGCGAAAAG